This is a long non-coding RNA of Dermochelys coriacea (leatherback sea turtle), 191 nucleotides long. RefSeq lists it as uncharacterized. The record is from RefSeq and is a predicted model, not a curated record. The transcript is spliced from 3 exons. NCBI's taxonomy places the organism in Eukaryota, Metazoa, Chordata, Testudines, Dermochelyidae.
GAUUUCUUCCAUUUUAAGUUUUAUGCCUUUCCUCACAGAUAGGGCCCUACCAAUUUCACGGCCAUGAAAAAUACAUCAUGCACCAUGAAAUCUGGUCUCUCCCAGUGAAAUAUGGUCUUUUAGAUGCUUGUACCCUAUAUUAUAUAGAUUUCAUGGGGGAGACCAUUGUUUCUCAAAUUGGGGGUCCUGCC